This 429-nucleotide ribosomal RNA is filed under the name Actinomycetes bacterium. RNAcentral describes it as "Actinobacteria bacterium partial 16S ribosomal RNA". It matches the Rfam family "Bacterial small subunit ribosomal RNA", at positions 355 to 776 of the family's 1533-position model. The record is from RNAcentral. Lineage: Bacteria; Bacillati; Actinomycetota; Actinomycetes.
UAGGGAAUCUUCCGCAAUGGGCGAAAGCCUGACGGAGCAACGCCGCGUGAGUGAUGAAGGUCUUCGGAUCGUACAACUCUGUUAUUAGGGAAGAACAAAUGUGUAAGUAACUAUGCACGUCUUGACGGUACCUAAUCAGAAAGCCACGCCUACCUACGUGCCAGCAGCCGCGGUAAUACGUAGGUGGCAAGCAUUAUCCGGAAUUAUUGGGCGUAAAGCGCGCGUAGGCGGUUUUUUAAGUCUGAUGUGAAAGCCCACGGCUCAACCGUGGAGGGUCAUUGGAAGAUGGAAAACUUGAGUGCAGAAGAGGAAGGUGGAAUUCCAUGUGUAGCGGUGAAGUGCGCAGAGAUAUGGAGAAACAACAGUGGCGAAGACGACUGUCUGGUCUGUAACUGACGCUGAUGUGCGAAAGCGUGGGGAUCAAACAGG